CCCCCACUCGUACAAGACAAUCCCUCCAUUCUUCACGAUAACGGCAGUUCAGUCCACAAAGAACGGUCUAAUAAAUAUUCAGCAUGCUCCUCACAUCCCCACAUGCAUGAUACCCUAUUAGAUCACUUUCUUAGAUUAAACCUACCUCACUAUCACUUCACUAUCCAUAUUUCUCUUGGUGUGGAUUAACUCAUAUCACUCGUGAAGCAUUCCAUGUCUUUUUAUUGCUCCAUUACAUGUUGUUCAUUACGUGUUGCUUGACAUGAUUGGAAAGCAUGAUGGGAUAUUUAUGAUAGGGCACGGCUCUCAAAUUAUCUCAAGGUUACAGUCCCUUAGUUGAGCCGAGGAGCCGAAAAAGAAGUGACGCUGAUCACGCCUCUUGUAAAAAGACUACAUAUUUCCGCAUGCUGAAAAUAGAGGGACCAUCCCUCCUCGAGACUCGACUCAACACUACAUCCCUUUUUUACUUCUUUUUCGCGCUCCCUUUUUAUGAUUUUGAAUAUUACAAUAUAUUGAUGCCCAUUUAGAUUUUUGAAGAGACAAUUAGUUCUGUUUUAUUACUUUUACACUGAAAAUUCUGAAUGAAAAUUCUGAAUGUGACACUUCUGACCAAGGAAUGAAUUUGCUGGCCCCUGUUAUUUUACAGGGCAUAGUUUUUUACUAUUUUCGACGUUAUUAUUUGACGUUGUUACCAUAGUAAUAUGACGUUGCCACUGCGCAACUCCUAUAGCCGGCACGGACGGAGAUGACUGAGUCUAGGACGUUUGUUUGAUUUAUCUUUUUGUUUGAAUGAUGACUUGAUAUGAUACAUCAAUAUUAUUAUCAUGGUACCUUUUGAAAUUAUUUGGUUCCA
Molecule: long non-coding RNA, 853 nt
Organism: Bolinopsis microptera
Lineage: Eukaryota; Metazoa; Ctenophora; Tentaculata; Lobata; Bolinopsidae
Exons: 2
Source: RefSeq, a predicted model, not a curated record